This 254-nucleotide ribosomal RNA is filed under the name uncultured bacterium. Its description in RNAcentral is "partial 16S ribosomal RNA". It matches the Rfam family "Bacterial small subunit ribosomal RNA", at positions 524 to 777 of the family's 1533-position model. The record is from RNAcentral.
UACGGAGGGAGCUAGCGUUAUUCGGAAUUACUGGGCGUAAAGCGUGCGUAGGCGGUUUGUUAAGUCCGUUGUGAAAGCCCUGGGCUCAACCUGGGAAUUGCAGUGGAUACUGGCGAGCUAGAGUGCGGUAGAGGAUGGUGGAAUUCCCGGUGUAGCGGUGAAAUGCGUAGAGAUCGGGAGGAACACCCGUGGCGAAGGCGGCCAUCUGGACCAGCACUGACGCUGAGGCACGAAAGCGUGGGGAGCAAACAGGG